AGUGAACGCUGGCGGCAUGCCUAACACAUGCAAGUCGAACGACAGCACAGUAAGAGCUUGCUCUUACGGGUGGCGAGUGGCGGACGGGUCACGUAUACAUCGGAUUCCUCUUUUUCGUGGGUGAUAACGUAGGGCAACUUCUUCUAACACAGCAUAUGACCUACGUGUGAAAGCAGGGGUUCUUCGGGCCUUUCGCGAUUGAAUGAGCCGAUUCCGGAUUAGCUAGUUGGCUGGGUAAAGGCCCACCAAGGCCACGAUGCGUAGCUGGUCUGACAGGAUGAUCAGACACACUGGAACUGAGACACGGUCCAGACUCCUACGGGAGGCAGCAGUGGGGAAUAUUACGCAAUGGGCGAAAGCCUGAUCGAGCAAAACCGCGUGAGUGAUGAAGGAGUUCGGGUUGUAAAGCCAUGUAGGUGGGAAAGAAGAAAAGCACGUUUAAACCCGAUGGUACUGACGGUACCGAAAGAAUAAGCACCGGCUAACUUCGUG
RNAcentral lists this ribosomal RNA (492 nucleotides) under uncultured bacterium. RNAcentral describes it as "partial 16S ribosomal RNA". It matches the Rfam family "Bacterial small subunit ribosomal RNA", at positions 29 to 507 of the family's 1533-position model. The record is from RNAcentral.